This 282-nucleotide ribosomal RNA is filed under the name uncultured bacterium. RNAcentral's name for it is "partial 16S ribosomal RNA". It matches the Rfam family "Bacterial small subunit ribosomal RNA", at positions 123 to 399 of the family's 1533-position model. The record is from RNAcentral.
AAAAAAAAAAACUUUGGGAUAACUUCAGGAAACUGGGGCUAAUACCGGAUAUUAGCUCCUGCUGCAUUGUGUGGGUUGGAAAGUUUCGGCGGUUGGGGAUGGACUCGCGGCUUAUCAGCGUGUUGGUGGGGUAGUGGCUUACCAAGGCUUUGACGGGUAGCCGGCCUGAGAGGGUGACCGGCCAAAUUGGGACUGAGAUACGGCACAGACUCCUACGGGAGGCAGCAGUGGGGAAUAUUGCACAAUGGGCGGAAUUUUUUUGAUGACACGGCGACCGCCGGA